Molecule: ribosomal RNA, 450 nt
Filed under: uncultured bacterium
Lineage: Bacteria
Description: partial 16S ribosomal RNA
Rfam family: Bacterial small subunit ribosomal RNA
Source: RNAcentral
CCUACGGGCGGCUGCAGUCGAGAAUCUUCGGCAAUGGGCGCAAGCCUGACCGAGCGACGCCGCGUGUGGGAUGAAGGCCUUCGGGUUGUAAACCACUGUUAGAGGGGAUGAAAUGCAGGUGGGUUCUCCCAUCUGUUUGACAUAGCCUCAGAGGAAGGACGGGCUAAGUUCGUGCCAGCAGCCGCGGUAAGACGAACCGUCCGAACGUCUGGCGGAAUCACUGGCGUAGAAGGGUGGGUAAGUUGCGCGUGAAAUACCUCGGCUCAACCGAGGAACUGCGCCCAAAACUGCCGUGCUCGAGGAAGAUAGAGGUGAGCGGAACUUAGGGUGGAGCGGUGAAAUGCGUUGAUAUCCUAAGGAACACCGGUGGCGAAAGCGGCUCACUGGAUCUUUUCUGACGCUGAGGCACGAAAGCUAGGGUAGCGAACGGGAUUAGAUACCCUUGUAGUC